AGAGCGGACGCUGGCGGCAGGCUUAACACAUGCAAGUCGAGCGGGCGUAGCAAUACGUCAGCGGCAGACGGGUGAGUAACGCGUGGGAACAUACCUUUUGGUUCGGAACAACACAGGGAAACUUGUGCUAAUACCGGAUAAGCCCUUACGGGGAAAGAUUUAUCGCCGAAAGAUUGGCCCGCGUCUGAUUAGCUAGUUGGUGAGGUAACGGCUCACCAAGGCGACGAUCAGUAGCUGGUCUGAGAGGAUGAUCAGCCACAUUGGGACUGAGACACGGCCCAAACUCCUACGGGAGGCAGCAGUGGGGAAUAUUGGACAAUGGGCGCAAGCCUGAUCCAGCCAUGCCGCGUGAGUGAUGAAGGCCCUAGGGUUGUAAAGCUCUUUUGUGCGGGAAGAUAAUGACGGUACCGCAAGAAUAAGCCCCGGCUAACUUCGUGCUAGCAGCCGC
RNAcentral lists this ribosomal RNA (448 nucleotides) under uncultured bacterium. RNAcentral describes it as "SSU rRNA". It matches the Rfam family "Bacterial small subunit ribosomal RNA", at positions 26 to 518 of the family's 1533-position model. The record is from RNAcentral.